UCCGUAGGUGAACCUGCGGAAGGAUCAUUAGUGAUUGCCAUCUUGGCUUAAACUAUAUCCAUCUACACCUGUGAACCGUUUGAUUGAAUCUUCUGAUUCAAUUUUACAAACAUUGUGUAAUGAACGUCAUUAGAUCAUAACAAAAAAAAACUUUUAACAACGGAUCUCUUGGCUCUCGCAUCGAUGAAGAACGCAGCGAAAUGCGAUAAGUAAUGUGAAUUGCAGAAUUCAGUGAAUCAUCGAAUCUUUGAACGCAACUUGCGCUCUCUGGUAUUCCGGAGAGCAUGCCUGUUUGAGUGUCAUGAAAUCUCAACCAUUAGGGUUUCUUAAUGGCUUGGAUUUGGAGGUUGCCAUUCUAAAUGGCUCCUCUUAAAGGAGUUAGCAAGUUUUACUAUUGCUAUCUGGCGUAAUAAGUUUCGCUGGAAUGGUAUUGUGAAGCGUGCUUCUAAUCGUCUUCGGACAAUUACUUUGACUCUGGCCUCAAAUCAGGUAGGACUACCCGCUGAACUUAAGCAUAUCAAUAAGCGGAGGA
RNAcentral lists this ribosomal RNA (532 nucleotides) under Apiotrichum dulcitum. RNAcentral's name for it is "eukaryotic LSU rRNA". The stretch from base 149 to 302 matches the Rfam family "5.8S ribosomal RNA". Lineage: Eukaryota; Fungi; Basidiomycota; Tremellomycetes; Trichosporonales; Trichosporonaceae. The record is from RNAcentral.